Molecule: ribosomal RNA, 497 nt
Filed under: uncultured bacterium
Lineage: Bacteria
Description: partial 16S ribosomal RNA
Rfam family: Bacterial small subunit ribosomal RNA
Source: RNAcentral
GAUGAACGCUGGCGGCGUGCCUAAUACAUGCAAGUCGAGCGAACAGACGAGGAGCUUGCUCCUCUGACGUUAGCGGCGGACGGGUGAGUAACACGUGGAUAACCUACCUAUAAGACUGGGAUAACUUCGGGAAACCGGAGCUAAUACCGGAUAACAUGUUGAACCGCAUGGUUCAACAGUGAAAGACGGUUUUGCUGUCACUUAUAGAUGGAUCCGCGUCGCAUUAGCUAGUUGGUAAGGUAACGGCUUACCAAAGCAACGAUGCGUAGCCGACCUGAGAGGGUGAUCGGCCACACUGGAACUGAGACACGGUCCAGACUCCUACGGGAGGCAGCAGUAGGGAAUCUUCCGCAAUGGGCGAAAGCCUGACGGAGCAACGCCGCGUGAGUGAAGAAGGUCUUCGGAUCGUAAAACUCUGUUAUUAGGGAAGAACAAAUGUGUAAGUAACUAUGCACGUCUUGACGGUACCUAAUCAGAAAGCCACGGCUAACUACGUG